Molecule: ribosomal RNA, 478 nt
Filed under: uncultured bacterium
Lineage: Bacteria
Description: partial 16S ribosomal RNA
Rfam family: Bacterial small subunit ribosomal RNA
Source: RNAcentral
GAUGAACGCUGGCGGCGUGCUUAACACAUGCAAGUCGAACGGGAAACCUUUUAUUGAAGCUUCGGCAGAUUUAGCUGGUUUCUAGUGGCGGACGGGUGAGUAACGCGUGGGUAACCUGCCUUAUACAGGGGGAUAACAGUCAGAAAUGGCUGCUAAUACCGCAUCAGCGCACAGAGCUGCAUGGCUCAGUGUGUAAAACUCCGGUGGUAUAAGAUGGACCCGCGUUGGAUUAGCUGGUUGGUGGGGUAACGGCCCACCAAGGCGACGAUGCAUAGCCGGCCGGGGAGGGGGAACGGCCACAUUGGGACUGAGACACGGCCCAGACUCCUACGGGAGGCAGCAGUGGGGAAUAUUGCACAAGGGGGGAAAACCUGAUGCAGCGACGCCGCGUGAAGGAAGAAGUAGCUCGGUAUGUAAACUUCUAUCAGCAGGGAAGAUAAUGACGGUACCUGACUAAGAAGCCCCGGCUAACUACGUG